Clarias gariepinus (North African catfish) is the source of this 336-nucleotide long non-coding RNA. RefSeq lists it as uncharacterized. The record is from RefSeq and is a predicted model, not a curated record. The transcript has 3 exons. Lineage: Eukaryota; Metazoa; Chordata; Actinopteri; Siluriformes; Clariidae.
GUUUAGUUACUCACACACACACACACACACACACACACUGCAGACACCGAGAGGGAAAAACCUUCAGCCGCCAUUUCCAGCCACACCUGAGUGACGUCACAGGCGGAAGCGGCCGCAGGUUCUCCCGAUGUCUUGGGUUCUGUGGACGGAACCCACAUCAGAACUCAGGCUCCAGCUGGACCGACUCAGGCGGACCGUGAACAGGGAAUCUCUCCAUAGCCUCAGUGUACAGAUGAUCUGUGACAGCGACUGCCUAAUUACUAAAACGGCCCGGCUCUGUCCAUGACUCCAGGAUCUUCGAGCGUCCUCACUGACACAGAGGUUUGCAGAAGGCAG